CGUACACUCCUGCGGGAGGCAGCAGUGGGGAAUAUUGCACAAUGGGCGCAAGCCUGAUGCAGCCAUGCCGCGUGUAUGAAGAAGGCCUUCGGGUUGUAAAGUACUUUCAGCGGGGAGGAAGGCAAUACGGUUAAUAACCGUGUUGAUUGACGUUACCCGCAGAAGAAGCACCGGCUAACUCCGUGCCAGCAGCCGCGGUAAUACGGAGGGUGCAAGCGUUAAUCGGAAUUACUGGGCGUAAAGCGCACGCAGGCGGUCUGUCAAGUCGGAUGUGAAAUCCCCGGGCUCAACCUGGGAACUGCAUUCGAAACUGGCAGGCUUGAGUCUUGUAGAGGGGGGUAGAAUUCCAGGUGUAGCGGUGAAAUGCGUAGAGAUCUGGAGGAAUACCGGUGGCGAAGGCGGCCCCCUGGACAAAGACUGACGCUCAGGUGCGAAAGCGUGGGGAGCAAACAGGAUUAGAAACCCGGGUAGUCCCAUGAU
Molecule: ribosomal RNA, 480 nt
Filed under: uncultured organism
Description: partial 16S ribosomal RNA
Rfam family: Bacterial small subunit ribosomal RNA
Source: RNAcentral